UACGUAGGGUGCGAGCGUUAAUCGGAAUUACUGGGCGUAAAGCGUGCGCAGGCGGUUUUGUAAGUCAGAUGUGAAAUCCCCGGGCUUAACCUGGGAACUGCGUUUGAAACUACAAGGCUAGAGUGUGGCAGAGGGGGGUGGAAUUCCACGUGUAGCAGUGAAAUGCGUAGAGAUGUGGAGGAACACCAAUGGCGAAGGCAGCCCCCUGGGUUAACACUGACGCUCAGGCACGAAAGCGUGGGGAGCAAACAGG
Molecule: ribosomal RNA, 253 nt
Filed under: uncultured bacterium
Lineage: Bacteria
Description: partial 16S ribosomal RNA
Rfam family: Bacterial small subunit ribosomal RNA
Source: RNAcentral